AGUGAACGCUGGCGGUAGGCCUAACACAUGCAAGUCGAACGGCAGCACAGUAAGAGCUUGCUCUUACGGGUGGCGAGUGGCGGACGGGUGAGGAAUACAUCGGAAUCUACUUUUUCGUGGGGGAUAACGUAGGGAAACUUACGCUAAUACCGCAUACGACCUACGGGUGAAAGCAGGGGAUCUUCGGUCCUUGCGCGAUUGAAUGAGCCGAUGUCGGAUUAGCUAGUUGGCGGGGUAAAGGCCCACCAAGGCGACGAUCCGUAGCUGGUCUGAGAGGAUGAUCAGCUACACUGGAACUGAGACACGGUCCAGACUCCUACGGGAGGCAGCAGUGGGGAAUAUUGGACAAUGGGCGCAAGCCUGAUCCAGCCAUACCGCGUGGGUGAAGAAGGCCUUCGGGUUGUAAAGCCCUUUUGUUGGGAAAGAAAAGCAGCAGGUUAAUACCCCGCUGUUCUGACGGUACCCAAAGAAUAAGCACCGGCUAACUUCGUG
This 492-nucleotide ribosomal RNA is filed under the name uncultured bacterium. RNAcentral describes it as "partial 16S ribosomal RNA". It matches the Rfam family "Bacterial small subunit ribosomal RNA", at positions 29 to 507 of the family's 1533-position model. The record is from RNAcentral.